RNAcentral lists this ribosomal RNA (372 nucleotides) under uncultured organism. Its description in RNAcentral is "bacterial SSU rRNA". It matches the Rfam family "Bacterial small subunit ribosomal RNA", at positions 526 to 896 of the family's 1533-position model. The record is from RNAcentral.
CGGGGGGGGCAAGCGUUGUUCGGAAUUACUGGGCGUAAAGGGUGCGUAGGCGGCUCUCUAAGUCGGAUGUGAAAACUCUGGGCUCAACCCAGAGCCUGCAUCCGAAACUGGAGGGCUGGGGUUCUGGAGGGGAAAGCGGAAUUCCUGGUGUAGCGGUGAAAUGCGUAGAUAUCAGGAGGAACACCGGUGGCGAAGGCGGCUUUCUGGACAGAUACCGACGCUGAGGCACGAAAGCUAGGGGAGCAAACAGGAUUAGAUACCCUGGUAGUCCUAGCCCUAAACUAUGGAUACUUGCUGUGGGGGGGAUUGAAGCCCCUUGUGGCGAAGCUAACGCAUUAAGUAUCCCGCCUGGGGAGUACGGUCGCAAGGCUG